This 202-nucleotide long non-coding RNA is filed under the name Panax ginseng (ginseng). RNAcentral describes it as "long non-coding RNA (PGIN_LNC016610)". The record is from RNAcentral. Lineage: Eukaryota; Viridiplantae; Streptophyta; Magnoliopsida; Apiales; Araliaceae.
CUUGAGAUUAUUAUUCAAUUUGAAUAUCAUUAUUGUUGAACCUUGUUAGACUAGUGAACCUUAUUGAUUCGACUAGUCCAUAGUUGAUGAACGUUCUAAAUUUCAGAACCCUUAUUGAAUUAUCCAAACCAAACUUCCUUUGGUGCAGAUUUGAAUGUCAAACUGAGAUGAACAACCCUGCAAAGGGAUUUACUUAUGCGUU